GCCCCUUGGGAAACUGGCCUCAUUCCUUGGCUACACCAUCUCCAUACGGGAUUCCUAACCUGUGGUGAGUAAAGAAUGUCACUUUCUGACAGGCCUAGGAACUCCAUGCUCUUGGAACCUCAAGAAGAAAGAAGUUUACCCAACUCACAGAGGCUAUCAAGCUCCAAGUGGUAAUGCAAAUGGAAUCACGUAUAAACAUGCGUUUCAUCUGAGGACCCUUAUACCAGCCCCUGGAGGAAUCCUAGCUGCUGUUCCCCACACAAUUCCCCUCUCCAGCAGGAAGUAGCCAGAAAGAUCAACACCCAUCUGCCUAACAGCAGUUAGGGUUUCCUCUCCUGAAGAGAGGAAUGAGAGAGAAGGAAAGGAAAAAUCAUUGGAAAAAUUCAGACAGCAGAAGCAGCCUGCCUGAAAAGUCACAUAGCAACAGGCAAAAAAUAAAACAGCCUUGGGAAAAACUUGGGGUGUACCUGGACAGAUAAGAAGAUCAGGUCAGGCUGUAAAACACAGAUAAACAACUCGGUCACAGAAGGAGGGGGCGAGUCUCCUGGAUAAUCACUAAACUUCACACUCAUACAGUGGGCCCCAGUAAAAACAGUGGGCCUUAAUAAGCACAUUCCUUUCCCUUUAGGCACACUAAGAUAGGGAAGCUAGAAGCGGACAUUGUGGGGGAAUGUCUGCAGCUGCAAGAAAAUGUCUGGGAACAGACACAGAAACUCUCCCUCCCAAAUAAGCGACACAAAGCAGCACACAGCAACACACACUAAAAGUCUGCCUAUGUGAUGAAGCAAUCAGGUAAAGGCUGAUAGAAACUCUGCUCUAUGCAUAUAGCAAACCUGGUCUCACCCAAAAUUUUCGGGCCCUAGGAGGAUAAGAUACCCCCUUUCUCACUAGCCCACGUAUAAAAACCCUGACAUUUUUACUACAACCUGGCAACUGCAACCUCUGCCACCCAGGUUCAAGCGAUUCUCCUGCCCCAGCCUCCAGAGUAGCAACCCUCUUGGGUGGGACCCCUCUCUCUGUGACAGAGAGCUGUUCUUUCCUUUUGUCUAUUAAACUCCUGCUCCAAUCUUACUCUGUGUGUGUGUCCGCGACCUCAAUUUCCUUGGCCGUGAGACCAAGAACCUUGGUAUUUACCCCAGACAACGAGGCUGCUUCAUUUUCUCUGUAAGUCACAGCAUAACCCUCUUGCACAUAGGACUACUACGCAGAACUUCAGUACUAUACUUUGAGGUCAUUUUAAAUAGUGAAAUCACUAAUUAAAAGCAUGAAAAUGUGAAAAAAAAGGACACUAAAUUGCCCAUGAAAGGGCAUUUGUUCUAUAGUAUGAGAGCUGAAACAAGAAGGCAGACUGUCAUCUUGCUCAACCUCCGAAUGAGUUGUGUCUGAUGACUCGAAUUUCUUUACCACUCUGGAUAUGUCGGCAAAUGACCAUAAAAGAACCAUACAGGUUGAUUUUGGAGCUCCAAUAAAUUUUGGCAAGUAGGUAAAUUCACAGGUGUGGAACAACAGUUGAUUCAUAGGAAUAACAAGGGUCAACUGUACAUGAUAGAAUUACCAGGUAAAGGAUUUGAAGUGUG
Molecule: long non-coding RNA, 1577 nt
Filed under: Homo sapiens (human)
Lineage: Eukaryota; Metazoa; Chordata; Mammalia; Primates; Hominidae
Description: HSALNT0308086
Source: RNAcentral